This 207-nucleotide ribosomal RNA is filed under the name uncultured bacterium. Its description in RNAcentral is "partial 16S ribosomal RNA". It matches the Rfam family "Bacterial small subunit ribosomal RNA", at positions 568 to 774 of the family's 1533-position model. The record is from RNAcentral.
CGUGUAGGCGGUCCGGUAAGUCCGCUGUGAAAGUCGGGGGCUCAACCCUCGGAUGCCGGUGGAUACUGUCGGGCUUGAGUACGGAAGAGGCGAGUGGAAUUCCUGGUGUAGCGGUGAAAUGCGCAGAUAUCAGGAGGAACACCAAUUGCGAAGGCAGCUCGCUGGGACGUUACUGACGCUGAGACGCGAAAGCGUGGGGAGCAAACA